UCAAGUAUUACUAAAGAAGUUAGGUCAAGGUGUAGCCCAUGGAGUGGAGCGAAAUGGGCUACAUUUUCUAUUACUAGAACAUUACGAAACUCUACGUGAAAUCCGUAGAAUAAAGGAGGAUUUAGUAGUAAAUUAAAACUAGAGUGUUUAAUUGAAUAGAGCAAUGAAGCACGCACACACCGCCCGUCACCCUCCUCAAUUUCUCAACAAUUAAAAGUACAUAACACCUAAUUACAAAAGAUUGAGAGGAGACAAGUCGUAACAAGGUAAGUGUACUGGAAAGUGCACUUGGAAAAAUCAAAAU
Molecule: non-coding RNA, 304 nt
Filed under: Dipodomys ordii (Ord's kangaroo rat)
Lineage: Eukaryota; Metazoa; Chordata; Mammalia; Rodentia; Heteromyidae
Description: Bacterial small subunit ribosomal RNA
Rfam family: Bacterial small subunit ribosomal RNA
Source: Rfam by way of RNAcentral